RNAcentral lists this long non-coding RNA (624 nucleotides) under Rattus norvegicus (Norway rat). RNAcentral describes it as "long non-coding RNA NONRATT014897". Lineage: Eukaryota; Metazoa; Chordata; Mammalia; Rodentia; Muridae. The record is from RNAcentral.
ACUUCAUGGUACCCUCUCCAAAAUUGACCAUACAGUCAGUCACAAAAUAGGCCUCAACAGAUACAAGAAGAUUGAAAUAAUCCCAUGCAUCCAGUCAGAUCACCACAGACUAAGGCUGGUCUUCAAUAACAACAAAAAAGACAGAAAGCCCAUAUACCCAUGGAAGUUGAACAAUGCUCUACUCAAUGAUAACUUGGUCAAGGAAGAAAGAAAGAAAGAAAUUCAAGACUUUUCAGAAUUUAAUGAAAAUGAAGACACAACAUACCCAAAUUUAUGGGACACAAUGAAAGCAGUGCUAAGAGGAAAACUCAUAGCUCUGAGUGACUCCAAAAAGAAACUGGAGAGAGCAUACAUUAGCAGUUUGACAGCACACCUAUAAGCUCUAGACCAAAAUAAACAAAUACACCCAAGAGGAGUAGAGGGCAGGAAAUAAUCAAAAUCAGGACUGAAAACAACCAAGUAAAACAAAAAGAACUACACAAAGAAUCAACAAAACCAGAAGCUGGUUCUUCGAGAAAAUCAAGAAGGUAGAUAAACCCUUAACCUGACUAAUCGGAGGGCAAAGAGAGAGUAUUCAAAUUAAAAUAUCAGAAAUGAAAAGGGAGACAUAACAACAGAAUCUGA